AAGGAUCAUUACAGAGUUCAUGCCCUCACGGGUAGAUCUCCCACCCUUGAAUAUUAUACCUUAGUUGCUUUGGCAGGCCGGGGCAACCCCCGGGGCUUCGGCCUUGGUGUGCCUGCCAGAGGAAACAAACUCUGUUUUUAGUGAUGUCUGAGUACUAUAUAAUAGUUAAAACUUUCAACAACGGAUCUCUUGGUUCUGGCAUCGAUGAAGAACGCAGCGAAAUGCGAUAAGUAAUGUGAAUUGCAGAAUUCAGUGAAUCAUCGAAUCUUUGAACGCACAUUGCGCCCCGUGGUAUUCCGCGGGGCAUGCCUGUUCGAGCGUCAUUUCAACCCAUCAAGCUUCGGCUUGGUCUUGGGGCCUGCGAUUCCGCAGCCUCUAAACCCAGUGGCGGUGCCUCCGAGCUCUGAGCGUAGUAAUUCUUCUCGCUAUAGGGUCUCGGUGGUGUCUUGCCAGUAACCCCCAAUUUUUUACAGGUUGACCUCGGAUCAGGUAGGGAUACCCGCUGAACUUAAGCAUAUCAAUAAGCGGAGGAAAAGAAACCAACAGGGAUUACCUCAGUAACGGCGAGUGAAGCGGUAACAGCUCAAAUUUGAAAUCUGCCGCAAGGCCGAGUUGUAAUUUGUAGAAGAUGCUUUGGGUAUGGCCCCGGUCUAAGUUCGUUGGAACACGACGUCAUAGAGGGUGAGAAUCCCGUAUGUGACUGGGUGCCUUUGCCUAUGUAAAGCUCUUUCGACGAGUCGAGUUGUUUGGGAAUGCAGCUCAAAAUGGGUGGUAUAUUUCAUCUAAAGCUAAAUAUUGGCCAGAGACCGAUAGCGCACAAGUAGAGUGAUCGAAAGAUGAAAAGCACUUUGGAAAGAGAGUUAAACAGUACGUGAAAUUGUUGAAAGGGAAGCGCUUGCAACCAGACUUGCACGCUGUUGAUCAUCCAGGCUUCUGUCUGGUGCACUCGGCAGCGUUCAGGCCAGCAUCGGUUCUGGUGGUGGGAUAAAGGCCUUGGGAAUGUAGCUUCUUUCGGGGAGUGUUAUAGCCCUCGGUGCAAUGCCGCCUAUCGGGACCGAGGACCGCGCUUCGGCUAGGAUGCUGGCGUAAUGGUUGUAAGCGACC
This 1104-nucleotide ribosomal RNA is filed under the name uncultured Lemonniera. RNAcentral describes it as "eukaryotic LSU rRNA". The stretch from base 476 to 1104 matches the Rfam family "Eukaryotic large subunit ribosomal RNA", at positions 1 to 649 of the family's 3401-position model. Lineage: Eukaryota; Fungi; Ascomycota. The record is from RNAcentral.